AUUUAUAUAGCUUAUCCUAGAGCAAUUUACUGAAGAUAAAGAGGACUA
Molecule: transfer RNA, 48 nt
Filed under: Plexippus paykullii
Lineage: Eukaryota; Metazoa; Arthropoda; Arachnida; Araneae; Salticidae
Description: Plexippus paykulli tRNA-Phe
Source: RNAcentral